Molecule: ribosomal RNA, 233 nt
Filed under: uncultured bacterium
Lineage: Bacteria
Description: partial 16S ribosomal RNA
Rfam family: Bacterial small subunit ribosomal RNA
Source: RNAcentral
UGGGUAACCUGCCCUGUACACACGGAUAACAUACCGAAAGGUAUGCUAAUACGAGAUAAUAUGCUUUUAUCGCAUGGUAGAAGUAUCAAAGCUCCGGCGGUACAGGAUGGACCCGCGUCUGAUUAGCUAGUUGGUAAGGUAACGGCUUACCAAGGCGACGAUCAGUGGCCGACCUGAGAGGGUGAUCGGCCACAUUGGAACUGAGACACGGUCCAAACUCCUACGGGAGGCAG